RNAcentral lists this ribosomal RNA (429 nucleotides) under Acidobacteriota bacterium. Its description in RNAcentral is "Acidobacteria bacterium partial 16S ribosomal RNA". It matches the Rfam family "Bacterial small subunit ribosomal RNA", at positions 355 to 776 of the family's 1533-position model. The record is from RNAcentral. Lineage: Bacteria; Pseudomonadati; Acidobacteriota.
UGGGGAAUUUUGGGCAAUGGGGGAAACCCUGAUCCAGCCAUCCCGCGUGUGCGAUGAAGGCCUUCGGGUUGUAAAGCACUUUUGGCAGGAAAGAAACGUCAUGGGUUAAUACCCCGUGAAACUGACGGUACCUGCAGAAUAAGCACCGGCUAACUACGUGCCAGCAGCCGCGGUAAUACGUAGGGUGCAAGCGUUAAUCGGAAUUACUGGGCGUAAAGCGUGCGCAGGCGGUUCGGAAAGAAAGAUGUGAAAUCCCAGAGCUCAACUUUGGAACUGCAUUUUUAACUACCGGGCUAGAGUGUGUCAGAGGGAGGUGGAAUUCCGCGUGUAGCAGUGAAAUGCGUAGAUAUGCGGAGGAACACCGAUGGCGAAGGCAGCCUCCUGGGAUAACACUGACGCUCAUGCACGAAAGCGUGGGGAGCAAACAGG